UACGUAGGGUCCGAGCGUUGUCCGGAGUUAUUGGGCGUAAAGAGCUCGUAGGCGGUUUGUCGCGUCUGCCGUGAAAUUUCGAGGCUCAACCUCGAACUUGCGGUGGGUACGGGCAGACUAGAGUGUGGUAGGGGAGACUGGAAUUCCUGGUGUAGCGGUGAAAUGCGCAGAUAUCAGGAGGAACACCGAUGGCGAAGGCAGGUCUCUGGGCCACCACUGACGCUGAGAAGCGAAAGCAUGGGGGAGCGAACAGG
RNAcentral lists this ribosomal RNA (254 nucleotides) under uncultured bacterium. Its description in RNAcentral is "partial 16S ribosomal RNA". It matches the Rfam family "Bacterial small subunit ribosomal RNA", at positions 524 to 776 of the family's 1533-position model. The record is from RNAcentral.